This 9231-nucleotide unclassified non-coding RNA is filed under the name Leishmania donovani. RNAcentral's name for it is "gene:LdHU3.17.0720(CDS-product:protein_kinase_put ative)". The record is from RNAcentral. Lineage: Eukaryota; Euglenozoa; Kinetoplastea; Trypanosomatida; Trypanosomatidae.
UCUCGUUAUCACCACCACAACAGCAAGCAUCCGCACAGCAGUGUGAAAGUGCCGUCGAGUCUCAAAAAGCAUCAUUUUCCUCCAUACCGCCGUACACGACACAAAAAGGCAAUCCACAACGACGACGACCAUAGGAAAAAGACUAAAGCAUCCUCGCUGCUGUGUCUGCGGUGUGCUGUAGCGUGAAGCGCCGCUGUUGCGUCGUAUUGAUUUCUUGCGGGUGUCGCCGCAACGCAACACAAAAAAAAAACAAAAAACAAAACAAAGAUAAGAAGAGGAGGAAGAGAAAUCGAAGCACUCUUUCACGUUCUCUGCGCAGCGUGUGUUGCGACUCUCCAAAGACCUCAAACCGUGUGCCAACUUGUGCGCUUAUUCGAUAGUUGCACAUACACACCCUCCGUGCGUCAUCGCCGCCGCACAGCCCCACUCCCCUCGGUCACAUCCGAACAACGAAGGACGCCACAAAAAAAAAAACAAUACGGGAGAAAGCAAAAAAGGGAACUGCACACUGACGAAGCGAAGCGAUUUCUCUCUCCUCCUUAUUCUUUGUGUUAUAUAUAUAUAUAUAUAUAGCAUGUGUUGCUGCUUUCGGAGUACACGCGCAGCUGUUAGCCCAUCACACACACCUCUCUAACCCUUUACCUCUAUUUCCCCCCUCCUCCCAAACACAGACGCCUGAAUAGCGGUUCAUCUGCGUUUUUUUCUUUCUUUCCCUGCUUGGCUUUUUGCCCUUUGCACUCACGCCGUCACCCACCCACCCACACAAACUCUCUCUCUCUCUCACGCCGUCUUUUCCUGUUUUCGUUUCUUGUCUCACUGCUGGUCUCGUUGCAUCGCUUUCUCUUCUCUUGUGUGUGUGCGCGCACCGCUGCGACCUCCCUUCUUCCCUACUUGACUCUUUCCUUUCUUGAGUGCUGUUGCCGCUGCCGCUGUUGGCAUUUUGCUGUUCGUCUCUCUGGUGCGCUUUAAACUCGCCAGUCGUGCUCCGUCCCCCCCCUCUCCUGCUGUCGCUGCUGCGGUGUCUUUCCUGCGUGCGUGUUUGUGUGUGUGUGUGUGCCCCAGAGUGUAUGCUGAGCCUUCACUCUCCCCUUCUCCCGCCCAACCCAUACACUCCUACACACACGCGCGCGCGCGUACAUAUUCAAAGCGUGUGCGCUGUGUUUGUGCUCGCUGCUGGUGUGCAGCAGGCGCCGCAGCCACAGCGGCGAGUGAGCGUUGAGAUCGUCUUGCGUGUCUUCCGUGUGUCUCUCUCUUUCUCUCUCUCUCUCUUUGGUUUCUCCGCGUGCUUUCGGUGUCUACGCGAAGGAACGGUACAACGAACACUUUUUAUUGAGUUCCUGCGUGUGGCACCCCAGCGCCCGUGGAGCACGCCGUUGCGAAGGUUGGGCCGGCCUUUGAUUCCAUCGCACGGCGGCGCACACCAGCCUCUCCCGACGUCUGCCAGCACUCGUUACCUCAUACACACCCACGCCCGUACUUCUUGUCGGCUUCGUUUUUUUUUUGCUGAUUUGGCUGUGCAGUCGCUGUCGCGUUCUUUCGGUAUUAGUUUCCCCCCUCUCCCUCCUGCCUCACGCCUUCUUCCCCUCUUUCCUUUCCUCUGUCUGCCUUCCUCCCCCUUCUCAGUGUCACUCUACAGUCCGCGUUUCUUCGGUAUUUUGUUGAGUGUGGGGGUGUUCGCCUCGACUGUAUUAUCCCCCUCCCUUUGUUGCUUGUUGUUGUCUUGGUUAAACACGGACUUCUCCUACGUGCGCGCGUUUCUCGUUACCUUCCCUCCCCGUCUGUGAGUCUGCCUCCUCUCGCACAAGCAAUAACGACCUGCAUGCAGCACCGGCAUCACUGUGUGCCCCUUCCCCCUUCCCCCUUCCCCCUUCCCCUUCCCCCUCCCCUCCCCCAUCCCCACACACUAUUUCACAACUAUAUCGCGCUCUGUGGCGCUAUUGCCCGUAUUUCUCUAUCACCUUCUUUUUCCUCUAACGAAAAACUCGACGCUGCUGUCCUGCCCGUGCGCGCCUGAUCUGGAAAGGAGGACAGGGGCCACCACGUCGACGGCGCUCUAGCAGGGACAUACGACGGGUGCAUAACAGUACGAACUCGUGCUGGUGCACACAUGCGUGUGCUCGUCGCUCAUUGAAGGAAAGACAGUAAAGAGAAAACGUCGAGAGAAGACCAUGCACGACUUCAGCAUAUCCUUGAACCAGGACGUGCGCGACGGUGGUUGCCUGUGUCCUCACCGUCACCACAGCAGCAGCCUUAGCUCGGGCACAUCCGUGACGACGUCAGAAGAGGCGGAUGUGAACGGCGUGAUGCAGCACCUGGAGGCGGCGGCCGCCGCUGCAGCGGCGAACUCAGACGGCACUUGCAGCCUGACUGGUUGCGUGUGCCCAGGAAAGAAUAAUAAAGAACUGUUCUCAUGCAGGCCUGAUGGCAUAGCGAGCGUGUACGACAACCACGAAGAGGACCUUAUCGACGGCGACGCUGGCGAGAGUGGCUCGCGAACCGGCGGCCUUUCGCGCGAGCGCACAGGCACCGACUUAUUAUCGGUCAAGUCUGCCGGCGCCUCUGUGCGGCGCGGAAAGGACGAGGUGGACGUGGCGGCGAAGGGCAUCCCGCUCGAGGUGCGCCGCUUCCAGUGCACCAAGAGCAUCCUCGCGUUCAAGGAAGCGACGAAGAACGACGCGACACCGGUGCCCGCAAAGCUGGUCGAUUUCAUCGUCUCCCUCACCUCGUCCAAGAACGGCUUGUGCACGGAAAAAGAAAUGUGCGACUGGCUGGUGGCGCAGAUGUGUGACCGCAUGGAGACAGGGCAGGUGUGGGUGAUUGGCAAGACAUCGAACCUACUUUUCGCGCUGCUGUGGCGCGGCUCGCGCAACUUCAUCGAGAGCGUUCACGCUAGCGGUGCAUCGCUUUUUCAGGUGUCGCAUCUCGCUGACGUGAUCAAGCAAACUCCGCAGGGGAACAUUAGCGGCGAUCGGCUUCCAGGCUCGCUGCAACCCAUCAAGCACGGCUCGGCAGGGCGUAAGUCAGCGCGCAGUCGACGGAAGUCGGCGAACACCGUCGGCGGUAAUGGAGCUGUGAAGCCGUUGACGGCCUGUUUCCUGGAGCAGCUGAAGCUGAAGGGGAUGUGCAGUAGCGGGGCGGCCUCGUGGCUCUCGCAAGGGAACGAAGCCCUUCCGGUGCACAUCGACCCCACCUUCGAUAUACCUGAAAGGGAGAUAUGUUUCUUCAUUACUAACACGGCCUAUAUGGAGGCUCUCUGCGAGUAUCGCUUCCGCCACCCGGCACUGGACCUGGUGCGCGGCGAGAUCUUGUGCGACUCGGACGACUGCUCCGUCAGCGACUCCGCGGGCCAGGCCUCUGAUUUCUCGUCGUGCCGCACGACUCCUGCGUCAUGGAAGGGACUGCUCGACGACACACUGGAGCUCAUCAAGACGGUCGCCGCGACGGACCCGAGCAUCUUGAUCUGCCCGACUGGCGUGGCCAUUGCAACGAUACGGCUGCGCAACGCAGUCCUGCUCUAUGAGGUGGCGUGCCGCGCUUUAGUGCGGUUGGUGCACUCCAUCUUCACCUCCCUGCGCACGCUGGUGAACUCGGUGCAGACGGAGUCGGGGGCGCCACUGAAGAGGACGCAGACCACCCGUGCUGAGCAGCCGCCAACCGCCAUCACAAGUAGCGGCUGCGGCGAUAGCAGCCGCCUUGCAGACAUCGGUGCAAGGGUAGAUUUGACGCUCUCCCCGGAAGCCGCACUCGGCCUCGUGAACAUGCACUACAGCGCUAUGUACCAGUUCAACUGCGCUGUCCGCACGUUCAAGACUUACUGCGAGUCGGCCCAGCACGUGUCUGCGGAGGUUUCGAAAAAGGCGGCCGCAGCGCUGAAGCUGAUACCAGAGGAUGACUUUGCCGCGUUCCGUGAAACACUUAAGCAGCUCCAGGGAAACGGCUGUGCCAAGACGGCGGACGCAUCACAUACUGCUACGCAGCCAUUGCCUCAUCAGGCGACCAGCAGCAGCGGCGUGCUUUCACCCUCCGCCGCCGGCGCGACGGAGGGGCGGGCAGCAGAGAUGUGCGGCCCGUUGUCCACCGUCGCGGUGGACGGUGCAUCUUUGCCGACCCCGGCUACCUCUUCGCUCGAGAGCGGCGCGCAUUCCACCACUCUGCUAGACGCGGGGGUGCGCGAUGCCCUGCUGAUGCUGUACGAGUUCAACAGCGCGCAGGAGGGAGAACAGCCACCCAUGUGGAGUCGGCAGGUGGAUGCGGUGUGCGCGCUCUUCGACGAAAAAGAGGCCGCCAUCCUUCACCGGAUCUUUCAAGAUGGGCUGGAUGGACUCUGGAGCCAGUGGCGCGACUUCACCAACAACGCCUUGGCCGCGGCCGAGAAGGCGCUCACGACGCCAUGCGAGUCAACGUCCCCGGCGGCGAAGCGGGAAAACAGCAGUGUCCAGGGCUUCCUCUCCUCGGACGGCAGCGCGCCUGAGUCUGGCGGCCACCAUGGUAGCUACGGUGAUGCGACGACCCGGAACCCUGCGCAUGCUUUUCGCUCUCUGCCAUCCGGGCCUCAGUGUUUGCAGGCGACCGGGUUCGGCUCUAGCGACGACAAGACGGACUUCGUCUCUCCCAGCAGCUCCAGUGCGAACAACAGCAGCCUCAGCGUCGCCGGGGCGGAGAAGUCGGCGGAGCGGUCGAUUGAGGCACUCCUGCAGGCGGAAGAUGUGGUGGUGAUUUGCAACGAGGAGUGCUCGUGCAACGACACACUAAAGCUGAUUGACCGUUUUCAGAUCCUGAUGGACGUCCCACUUGGCCAGGGCAGCUACGGCAAGGUGUUCCGCGCGUGGGACGAGGUGACCGGGUGCUACUUGGCUGCGAAGGAGCUGCCGCUGGACUCGUCCAAGGCCCACAGCGUCGCGGUGCGCGAGGUGCUGCAGGAGUACACGGUGCUGACGGAGCUGUCGCACCCGAACAUCGUGCGUGUGGUUGCCUUCAUGGUCAUGAAGGAGACAGCGCGCAUCUACAUGGAGUGGAUGCCGUCUGGCUCGCUGCAGGACGUGCUGCGCCAUCACCCGCGCGGCGUGCUGCGGGAGAGCGUCGUGCGUCGCUACGCGCGCGAUGUGGUCUCGGGGCUCGCCUAUUUGCACUCGCGCGGCGUCAUUCACCGCGACGUGAAGCCUGCGAACAUGCUGCUCAGCUCCGACGGUACGGUGAAGCUGACCGACUUCGGCACUAGCCUCGUUCUCAGCGACAACAACCGCACACUGAAAUCCAACGCACUCGCCGGUACGGCAGCCUACAUGGCCCCCGAGUGCGUGCAGGGGACCUACUCGUCCGCGUCUGACAUCUGGUCCUUUGGCUGCUCGGUGGUGCAGCUCAUCACGGGUCACCUGCCGUGGUACAACGCCCAGACGGGCACCUCACCGGAACCCAUCGCGCUGCUCUUCAAGAUUGGAUGCUUGGACGACACAACGCACCUCGAGCGACCGCAUGAUCCCCUGGUGACAACCGUAGCAGCCGCAAACACUGCUGCGGAGGCUUCUGCUAGUUUCGACGCCACGUUGUCGAACUCCAACACCGCCAGCAUGACCGGGUCCUUCGCGUCGACUUCCUCAAAGUCCUUCAGAGCGGCGCUGCCAGCCACAACCGUGACGUCACCGCCGGAAAUCAGCCAGGAGCUCAUCCACAUGCUCAACGCCAUCUUUGUCGUGGACCGCAAAAAGCGGCCCUCUGCGAGGGAGCUCAUGCACCACCCCUUCUUCAAGUUCAUGUAGGCAGCGUGGUGCGCAGGAUGGAAAGAGAGCAGAUACGAAAGACCUGUUCUUGAAUGCAUGUCUAACCUGUGCCUGCUCCGGCGCCUAAUCCCUUCUUUCCCCAUCCCCAGUCAUCGACUCCCCCCCCCCCCCGCAUGCUGUCUUCCUGUUGCCGCUGUCUCUUUGGCUGCUGCUUCUGCUGCUUGCGCUCCCGGAUCACAGGAGGAGACGGUGAGGUGAGCGGGGGGAGGGAGGGGGCCACAGCGCCCCAGCGCGCGGCCUCACAGGGCCCAGUGCACCCCCCACUCUCCCUCUCUCCUUGUGGGAGAAAGCCAGGUGGUCCCGCCCCCGCCCUAUCCCCAGCCAAAUGCCGAGCCGCCCCUCUGGUGGCCACAGGGCCAAGCACCGGCGACGCGCGGGGGCCAGAGCGAUGCACGGCGACUGAUGUCGGCGGUCAGGUCGUGGAUGGCGCGGCGCCGGAGCGGCCAGCGACCGCGAGCACGCUUGUGCCGCCGACAUGACAAGCCGAGUGCCGGCGUGGCUCGAAGGCAUCUGUCACCCGGCCCUCGCUGCCCACUGGUGGAGGGAGCCUGCGCCACCGCGAGGGGGGUGCACCGGGGGCGGUGGCCGGCAUGACGGGAGCGGCUGUGAGGCUGCCUGCGGAGUGGGGUGUGGGUGGAGUCCGCUGCCGAGGCCGUGCUCUCAGAUGGCUGAGCCGGCGCACUGCUGCACCGGCGUGCGCCCAGGGCUGCGCCGCGCCACGCGACGGGUGGCCUGUGGCAGCGCCGGGGAGGCUCGAGGGCGGAGGUGGACCUCGCGUUGCCUGGCAGAGGAGUGGACUCAUCCUAAGAGGGCAACAUCUCCGUUUUGGUCUUCUCGAGUGCUCAGACGAGCGCACGGACAGAGAUGUAUGUCACGCGCCGCGCUUUUCAUGACGACACACAGAGCUGCAGCGUGCUCUCUGUUAUGGUCGCUGCCUCUUCACGAGAUCUGCUAUAUGUGUGUGUGUGCAACCAUUUACCGUCCUCCGCUCUCUUCCACCACUUGAUCUGUGGAUAUAGAGGCAACUGUACUGGUGUUGGUCUUUUGUACUUUUUUUUUAUUCUUGAUGUGGGAGGUAGGCGCACAGUUGUCUGUGUGUCUCUCUCUCUCUGUGUAUGUGCGUGUGCGUGCAUCUUUCGCGUUCCCUCAACCAGAGUUGACUGGCUUCGCUUCCGCAUCAAUCGCCUUCAUCGCUUUCUCGCGCACAAGCUCUACGCUGGGUGCCCUGUUUUUGAUGUUUGGUGCCACCCACACUUUUGUGUUGUUCACCCUUGCGUGCGCUCUGCUCGCUUGGAUGUGUAAGGUGCGCUGCCCCCGAACGCAUGCUGUUUCACUGCGCAUGGAUGCCUUACUGCUCGUGAAGAGGACCAGGGGUGAAUGCGCACUCCUGAGCUAACGCCUUUUCUUGUUCUCCCGCUUUCCCUUUUCCUCUCUACUGCACUGCUUGUUUUGCCCUUGGUAGUGCUUGUGGAGCGUAGCGUCUCCGUGGAGUUCGCGUUGUGAUCUGAAUUCGUGAUGCUCCGGUGGUGCGCUUGCAUGUUUGCGUGUUCCUUCGCUUGCCACGUGCGUGGUGUUGUCGGCUGCUGUGUGACCUUCUCGUGCGCGGUAGGGCGGUGAUCGCUUUGCCUGUGCUGAGUUGUGCAUGCGAGUCUGCGCGUGCGGGGACGCGCUUGUGUGCGUCUGCGUCUGCCUGCGUGUGUGUGUGCUCGCUUGAGUCCUCUCGAAUGAAUGCUAGACCUCUCACUUGUAUCUGACGUCUGCAUGAUUCGGUGCCGUUCUUCACGACGGACGACACGGGAGACGCGCGCGCAGGUGCGUCCACCGACCCCCCCACCGACGGGCCCACGUGCAUACAUCUAUAUCCGUAUGCGAUGACGCGUCUUCUUUUAUUACGACUUCUCCCCUGUUUUAAUUUCCGCCGUUUCUCUUUUUCGUUGGUGUUUCAGUUCUGUUCGUUUUCGCGUGCGCAUGGGUUAUGCGGAGGCGACGGGGGGGGAACGAUCGGUGGCGAAGGACCGUCUGUUCUCCCCGCUCCACAUAUACGCACACACGCACAGCUCUUUGCAUGGCCGAACUCCCGAACGCGGCGGUGUAUCGCCGUGGGUCAUUGUCAUCGGCAUCGCCAUGUUCUCUUUUUUUUCCGUCCAUGGAUUUCACUGGUGCCCUCCCCCUCUUCUUGAAUGGUAUAGGUUAUUGUCGUUGUGCCUGUGCUCUCGUGUGCCUGAAUACUUUUCGCUCUUUUCCUUCGUUUGUGCGUUGCUGCUGGAGUUCGCUCCCUGCCGCGCACACGGACGCACGCGUUCCUGUCUGUCUGUCUCUCUCUCUCUGCCGUUAUGCGUGCGUGGGCCUCCCGCCUCGUCUUCCUCCUUCCCCUCUUGCAGUGAGGUCGGUAUGCAGUGACGAGUCGGAAGCAGAGAGGAACAACCUGAAACGGUCGGCAAGGGGAGGGUGACGCACACAGAUGGCGUCGCCUGUCGACGGCGUUCGUGUACUCGAGCGUCUGCACCUCCCUUCUUUUCUCCUCGUAUCUUGAGUUUUGGCGCGCCCGCAGGCAUAUGUGCAGGUGUUCAGAUGUGAGAGCAUGUGCGCCUGAGGUGCCGCCUGUCAGUUUUUCAUCUGCCAGCAUGGACACGUUGCACAGACACCCGCACACGUGCACAGGCUCACGUGGAUGGGGCAAACGUACGCACGCACGCCCCCUCUCCCCCUCUCCCCCUCUCCUCCUCUCGUUUCUCUCUCCCUCGCUCUUGCUCUUGUUCCAUCCACCCACCCACCCACCAGUUACGCCCACCGCAGACACCACGCGCGUCCCCUCUUCCUUCCGUUGCGUAGGCGGCACUUUUUUUUCGGGUCUCCUGUUUUUUUCUUUUAUUACUCUCGGGCUGCGUUUCUUCGUGGUGUGGUGCUGCCGCUCUCAUCCACACACACACACACACACACACACGUGCUCGAGGGCGCGACCCCUCCUCCACUUCCUCCUCCCCCCUCUUCUUUCUCCUGACACGAAAUCAUGUUGAUGCGUGUCCAAUGAAAGCGCCGACUUGGUGACCAACAAAACCAUGCACCGAAUAGCAGGCCGUGAUCGAAGCUUUACGAACACAUGCGACGGCAACGAAACGGGUGUGGCUCCUGCGCGGCGCGGAGAUGGCCGUGAAGGAAGGGGGGGAGGCAUCAAUGCCAAGAGGGAGUGUGUGCUGCGUGCGCGCAGGGUGUGGAGCUGCUCGCAUACGCACAUGCUCCUUCACCGACCGUCUUCCUCGCGCCUCCCUCGAGUGUCUCGUUCACUGCGCACGCACGCACAUGCGCGUGCUGAGCUGCAGCUCCUCUUAUCCCCUCCUCUCUGUAGCUCUACCAGCUCGGCGCUGAAUCGCCAUGAUCUUGAACGCCCUCGCACUCGUCUCUGCGGUUGUACCGGAGUGUGUUCGCGUGGCAUCUGCCCCCUCGCCGUUCCCUC